CCGGCCCUCGGCGGUUGUGCGGCUCCGCCGCGGGGCCCUGGCGGUGGCCGUGGCUCCGGUGGCCCCGGUGGCACAGGGCUGUGCCCCUCCCGAGCGGCGGUGCUGGCACCGGGCUGCGGGGAGGGAACAGAGGGGCGGCUCUGCCCGCUGCCCCCGCCCCAGGGCAGCGGCGGCUGAGGGGAGCGCGUCCCGCCCCGGCGCCUGCGAGCUGCCGCCUCCGCUCCUCCAGGACGGGUCUCGCCUUUCUUCCCCGCCGGCGGCCGGAGAAGCGGCAUUUCACUGGGGGUUCGCGGAGUUUGCGUGGGGAAAGCUGGGAACAAGGCACGGCCAGAUCAGCGACUGAAAAUGGCACUUGGACACCACGAAACUGAUGAGGUUCUGAGAGUUACUGCUGAGCAGGAACAUGCCCUUGGCGGUGAUGGCACAUCAGGAUCCAGGAUGACAGACCAAAGCUUGUCAGCUCUAAUCACAGAGUAUGAUAAACACAUGGAGGAGAUGAAAGAACAGCUGCAGCUUUAUCAGGCACAAAUGAGUGAGAUGAAGCUAAAAUUGGAAGAAAUCACCAAGGAAAAUGAAAGGCUGCAUGCAGAGUUGAAAGAGUCUCUUGAGAAGCAACUGGAGGCUCUUCCUUUCAUGCAUCUGGAAACUGGUAUUCCUGCAGAUGAAGGCAUAGUGAGAACCCUUCAAGAGCAACUACGGCUGGCAAAGCAAGAAAAAGACCAAGCAGUUGACCGCUGGCAGACGCUGUUACAGGAGCACGAUCGACUUCAGCAGCAGUACCAGGAGCGCCUGACUGAAACGCAGAUUCUUGUGGCUGAAAGGAAAAAGCAGAAUGAUCAACUGACUAGCUUUCAGCAGUUGACUCGGCAGCUGCACAUGGCCAAGGAGAAGAUAGAGUUGACCAAUCAGCAGUUUCUGAAAACUGUGACAGAACAAAAUGUGGAACUAGAGCAGCUACGAAAACAACUGAGGCAAGCCAAAAUUGAUGGACAGGCAGCAAAUGCAAAGCUUGAAGAAAUGACAACAUUGAAAGAGAAGCUUCAGAGCCAGUUGGACAGAAAGGAAGAAGACAGGAUAUCUGCCCAGGAGAGAGAAACAACAUCUGACAAACGCUUGCAGCAAAUGCAGUCUAGUAUGAAACAAUUGGAAAUAAGAUUGUGUGUUACUAUUCAAGAUGCUGAACGGCUGAGAACAGAAAGAGUAGCCCUGGAGGAACAGAUCAGAGAGCUUCAGGCCAAGUCUGCCAAUCUAGAAAGUGAGAGGUAUGAUGCUGUUGUAAAAGUCCAAGAUUGCAUACAGCUCUUGGAAGAAGCUAACCUGGAAAAAAGUCAGGCAUUCUUUGAGGAGAAACAAAAGGAAGAAGAAAUCAAAAAACUGAAGGAUGAAAUGUCUCAACUUGCAGAAAGCACUGCUGCAAGAAUUAGAAAGGAAGUAGACACUGCAAAGAAGCAAUGUAAUGUGCAGGUUUCUCGGCUGACAGAAGAAGUUUCAGCUCUUCAGAUGGAAUGUGGAGAAAAACAGAGUCAAAUUGAACGAGCCAUUAGAGAAAAGAGAGCAGUGGAAGAAGAACUUGAAAAGGUUUACAGGGAGCACAGAGUGCAUGAAUCUAACAGUAGACAGCUCGAGCAGCUGCAUCAGAAGUAUUUACUUGCAGAAGCUGCCAAAGAUGACCUUCAGCUGAGUCUGCAGAUGAUACAAAAUAAACUGAAACAACUGGAAAUGAACUCUGAGGAAGAGAAAUCUCGUUGCCAGGAAGUUAUCUCUAAAUUGCAAAGCACUCUGGAUUCAGAAAGAGAAAAGAGUGCCUCUGUCAGUGAACAAAGACUAAAACUUCAGCAAGAGAAUGAACAAUUGCAAAAUGAAAUGGAUGGUUUGAGAAAACUGGCAGUGGAGGCUCAGCAAAGAGCUAAAAUAAAGAUAAGCACAAUGGAGCAUGAGCAUGCAGUGAAAGAACAUGGGUAUGAAGCUCGACUCAAGGAGAUGGAGGACACCAGUCACAAGUCCACUGCUGAGCUCAGACGUCUCUUAGUAGCUCAGCAAAAAGCAACAAACCGGUGGAAAGAGGAAACAAAAAACCUCACUGAAACUACAGAAGCCAGGAUUCGUAAUCUGAAGUACAGCACACUCAAUUUAGAGAAUUUUAGCUGUGGAUUAUGAGAACUUUACCUCUUCAGAAAAGCAUCAGUUGUGGAGUGAGUCUCCAGACUUCUAAAAUAAACUGGACAAAAACCUCGUAGAAUGUACAUCUCAAUGUUCUCUUCUGAGCACUUGUUGUCAUAAAUGAAGAUAAAAGUGGGUUGUGUGAUUGUCCUAAGAAAAAAUACGAAGGGCAAGGAGCCAGUUUUGCUUCACUAUCCUUGUGCCAGUGAACCCUGAAGGUAACUAAGAAGGUCAGUGCCCCUUGUGACAUGGGUCAUCAUUCUAAAUAAAACCUUUGCUCUUGGCAGCAUGGCUAACAACUCACUGCUAAGUUUAUUCCCUUUAUUCCCACAGUGUCUGCUCUGGCAGAGUCAGAAACCAAACUGCUCUGACCUCUGAUUGCAUCCAUUUUAAAUGUGCCUUGCAUUCUAGUGAUAGGUACUGACGUGAACUUAGACAGCAAAUGUUUACAAUUAUAAAAUAGCAGUAAAAUAGUAUAAAAUGAGUGAUCACUGUUAAAAGUUGUAAAAAAAGUCAUCUUUCAUAUUCUUUAUAGGGGUUUAAUUGGAAAACAAGUAUAGAAAUUUUAUAAAACUAUCAAACUUAUUUCAAAAUGUAAUUUCUUUAAUAACACAAAAAGAGCUUUUAAGUCUUAGUGAAAAAUUUAAGUAUUUUAUGUUUAUCAGUUUAACUGAUACUUGAGUUACUAUUUGAUUUUUCCCCCUCCUGCUGUAUAUCUGGAAUGUUGUCCAAGUAAUCUAAAUCACUGAAUCAGAAUUAGACUUAAUGUUGAAAAAGCUAUUUGGAUCUGCAGUGUCAUUCUCCACGAGUGGGUGUAGAAUUUGGUAAGAACUAGAAUCCAUGUUACUAUUGUUGCUAUCUACAAGGUGUAGAGCUUCCAGUUGUAAAGUUGUAGGCUCUAAGAUCACUGUCAGUUUGAAUGUCCUGAAAAUUUAAGGUCAUCUGCCUUUGACAGCCGUGGUAAAAAAAUCAGUAUCAAGUGCUUCCAGCUUUUUACUUUUCUUGUCUUCAUUUGAAAGAAUUUACUUUUGAAAGAAAUGAGGAAAGCAUGCACAAGUUUUUAAAAGCUCUUGCUUUCACUGAAGCGCUGUAAUCCAGAAGAAUGGUUCCUCUGGCCACAUUUGGGGGAAGAGGCUGGCUGAGACUGCUCUUGUUACAGCAUCAGUGUAAAGCUCUGUAGUUCUUCAGACUUCAGCUGAGAAGAAUAAAUGACAGCAGAUAGAAAGUGGAAUCAGCAACACCAAAGGAACAUUCAGGAAAUUUGCAAAUUGGAAGGAAACAAACUUCAGUAACAACAGAACAGAGGGUAGAAUGAGAAGGGGUGAGAGAGACAGUUCUGACAGCAGAAUUCAGGCAAAACCAGAUUAACUCAAUCUGCCAGCAUUUGCUGAAAGAAAAUGAAGUGACAGACUGUAUGCAAGUUUUAAAAGUAGAGGCAGAUGAUUCAUUUGUUCUGUAAAGCCCACUUUUACAGGUUUGUAGAUGAAUGCAUGAAUACAAAAGAUGGUUGAUCCCAUCUCAUUGGCAUAUCAGUAUUUUUUGUAGAUUUUUAUAUCCUUAUCCUGAGAAGGAAGAGUUGGGGUAGAGAAUUUUGCAGGUGAGCAGAUAAACCCUUUCCAGACUCUGCACCAGUGGCCAACACCAAGAGCUUAUUUUUGUUGAACACGAUUCUGGCUGGAGCAGGGAACAGAAGAAGAUUCACAUCGAUAAGCAAAGUUUUAUAUUGAAUCAAAUGAUUGAAUCAUCACAGAAUGCCCUUCAGUGGACUAGGUCUGAACAACAGCAGACAGGGAAAAAGGUAGAUACUCUUAACUUGAAAACCUGAUAGGAGAUUGACAGUUCUCUCAACUUUGCCAUGGAUAUUGCUUUGGCCUGUCAGACACGUAGGUGAUUGCUCAGUUUAGGUACAGUUUAGCUUGAAUAGGGGUAGAAAUAGGUAUAGACAGGUCUGUUCUACAAAACAGUGCAUGAAACAAUGUAUAAACAUUGGCUUAAAUGAUAGAGUAAGUUUGCUUCUAUGUAACAUUGCAUUUGAGGAGUUUUAAAAAUCUGAAGUCUUUAAUUACAGAA
Molecule: RNA transcript, 4230 nt
Organism: Corvus hawaiiensis (hawaiian crow)
Lineage: Eukaryota; Metazoa; Chordata; Aves; Passeriformes; Corvidae
Gene: SCLT1
Gene name: sodium channel and clathrin linker 1
Exons: 20
Source: RefSeq, a predicted model, not a curated record